GAAGAAAUGUUGUAUUUCCUCAAUAAAUACAUUUUGUGCUGAUCGUCGUAGUGCGUUAAAUUUAAUUUUUCGAUCAUUUUCGAAUUCAUUUUUAUUAUUCAAUUUAAGUCCUGCUUACUUAUUUAUUUUACCUUUUCUUUGAUGUAUUGUCAAAAAUUAGCAUGUUUAAAUGGAUUUAUUUAAUAUCUAGUGUAAAUUUAUUUUAUUUUAUUAACUAAUUCAUUUCUUUUGUAUUAAUAUUCAAAAAUAUAAAAAAAAAAUAACAAAAAUAAAAAAUAAAAAAAUAGAAACUCCAACGUCUCUCUUCCACGCGUCCAUCCAUUACCUCACUCUCUCCCCCACUCAUAACUACCUCACUCUCUCUCUCAAAUCUGAAGAAA
Molecule: long non-coding RNA, 380 nt
Filed under: Lathyrus oleraceus (garden pea)
Lineage: Eukaryota; Viridiplantae; Streptophyta; Magnoliopsida; Fabales; Fabaceae
Description: Pisum sativum (pea) long non-coding RNA (PSAT_LNC027449)
Source: RNAcentral